RNAcentral lists this ribosomal RNA (372 nucleotides) under uncultured bacterium. RNAcentral's name for it is "bacterial SSU rRNA". It matches the Rfam family "Bacterial small subunit ribosomal RNA", at positions 524 to 898 of the family's 1533-position model. The record is from RNAcentral.
UACGGAGGGUGCAAGCGUUGUCCGGAUUUAUUGGGUUUAAAGGGUGCGUAGGCGGCUGAUUAAGUCAGCGGUGAAAGACUUCGGCUUAACCGGAGCAGUGCCGUUGAUACUGAUUGGCUUGAGUGUUGGAGGGGUACAUGGAAUUGAUGGUGUAGCGGUGAAAUGCAUAGAUACCAUCAGGAACACCGAUAGCGAAGGCAUUGUACUGGCCAACAACUGACGCUGAGGCACGAAAGUGUGGGGAUCGAACAGGAUUAGAUACCCUGGUAGUCCACACUGUAAACGAUGAUUACUCGCUGUUAUGGUGUAUACUGUAGCGGCCAAGCGAAAGCGUUAAGUAAUCCACCUGGGGAGUACGCCGGCAACGGUGAA